CUUCCUCAGCUUCUCUCCAUGUUCUCUCUUUUCUUUCUUGUUCUCUCUCUUCCUCCUUUCCCUCUCUUCUUCAGAGCCUAGAUUUGCCUACAAGUAGCAGAUAAGGCAAGAACACUCACACAGAGGGAGAGAGGGUGGCAUCCCAUGGAGGACUCCGUGCCACAGCAUGCACUCCUAGACCUUAGGGGAGAGUUUGUUGCAGCCCAGGGGUGACAGCCUGUGUGGGGCAUCUCCGUGGGGGCUGUGUGUGGUGCUCUACGCGUGCCACCCCACUGGGGAAUCCAUAGUGCCACCACCCCCUAGGUGACCACAAGAGGAGGUGACAUCACGACUUCCUGUCUCCAAAUGGGAACUGAAAGCAGCUCUCCUGCCACUCCUUGUCCCCACUGCAGUCUCGCUGUCCCCAAGCUGCUCCUGCCUCAUGGCACCAAUGGCACUGGCCCUCAUCCUGGGACCAGGACCGUGUCCCUUGCAGGUUGGUGUCUGGCGGCAGCGAGCAGGGCACAGCAGCUGCCCCGACCCUCCCUGUCGCUGCAUCCCAGCCAAGGGGUGUCCAUGGGGGACACUGUCACCCUGCAGUGCCACCUGCCCCGGCUGGCUGCCCGGGUUGAGCUCUACCAGGGAGGACGUUGGAGAUCUGUCAUGGACAAGAAGGAGGACAUGGCUGAGUUCUCCUUGGUUAGCACUGAGCAGGAAGAUGCAGGAACAUACCGGUGCAAGUAUCGUGUGUUGGAGCCACCAUGGACAUCAAGGCUGAGUGAACCUGUGGAGCUGGUGAUCACAGGUGAGGUCACUGGGGAAAAUAAGUGCACCAGGGCUGUUUCCUCAGGGCCAUGUCCCAUCGCUCCCCACUCACUGGACACAGAUCGCAUGUUCCCCCCACCUGGUAUUUCCCUGCACCCUGAAAAGCCAGUGAGGAUGGGGACCAACGUCACCAUCCACUGCUGGAACAACUAUAAUGGGAUCACCUUCCUGCACAAGGAUGGGUGCUCAGCCCCUAUCCAGCACCAGGACCCUGACGGUGGGGGCACGGCCACCUUCACCCUCUUUGGGGUGACCCCGGCUGAUGCCGGCUCCUAUAGGUGCUUCUACCGCCCCAAGGGUUUUUACCCCUUUCUUUCCUCACCCCUUGGGAACAAUGUGACACUGGAGAUGGAAUCCGCAUCUGCUCCUCCUGGUAGGUCUGAUCCUCCCAUUUGUGUGUCCCUGAUGUCACCCAUGGGUGGCACUGUCACGACAUCCUGUCCCUAUGGAGGUGGUGGCAGAGGAUGGAGUUCACCCAACACUUGGACCCCACAGGUGCUGAGGGGACGUCCUACAGGAACUUUGUGGUGGCGGUGGUGAGGGGAUGCGCUGCUGCCCUUGUCUUCGCUCUCGGCCUCUACUUCAUCCUCGAUGCCCGCAGCCUCUGGAUACAGAGAGAUGUGAGAUCUGGUGACCCCCAGUGACAAGAAGGGUCUGACUCACACCGAGCUGCGUGCUGCAACCUGCAGGAUUUGGACACUCUGUGCACCCGUCGUGCCCUAAUCCCCUGUUAUCUGUGCUGAGUCGGGCACUGGCAGCUCUGCUAAUGCACACUUCUACCAUCCCCUCUAAGUGAAUGCAGAGGUGGGCUGUGGAUGUGUGAAGGAAGGGUCACAUCACAUUGCCACGGGGAUUUGAUGAUCGCUUUCCCAUUAGGCCCUCAUCAAGUCCCAGUAACAUUCCUGGCUGACACUGGGGCCCAGAUGUUGGCCCUUACGGAAGAUGUGGCUGUCAUUGUCUGGAUACGUCCUGACCAAAAGGAAAUCUGGGUGAUGGAGUGUUCCGUAUCUCCUGAGCGGAGCUCACGGCACCAGCACAAUGUUGGCUGUUGGGAGUUGUGGCAGUGCCAGAGCUCACAAUGAUCCUGGGCUCUCUGAGCUGUAAGUUGAGGAACAACCUGUGCCUUGGUCUUGGAAUUUUCUGCUGCAAAAGCAGAAUCUAAAUCUCACAUGGGGAGAUGUGGUCACUCUAAGGAUCGGAGACUGGGAAUCCAUACAAGGGAUGUCGAUGGGACUACUACUCAGAGAGAGCCCCUGGAGUUGGGAGGCACUGUGAAAGGUUUGGGUGUUCCCUGGGGUCAGGGCGAUGUGUGAGCGGUGGCUCAGCCACAUGGGACACCCCAUGGGAGCCACAUGUCCUGCACCGGGCAUCCCAUGGGGGACAGCGUGCAAGGCCAUGCCCUGGCAGAACUUUGGGGAAAGUGUGU
This is an RNA transcript of Numida meleagris (helmeted guineafowl), 2230 nucleotides long. It is a transcript of the gene named platelet glycoprotein VI-like, with no coding region annotated. Lineage: Eukaryota; Metazoa; Chordata; Aves; Galliformes; Numididae. The record is from RefSeq and is a predicted model, not a curated record. The transcript is spliced from 4 exons.